GUAGGUGAACCUGCGGAAGGAUCAUUAUCGAAUUUAUAAAGCUUGCCGUCUGAUGCUGUCGUCUCCGGACUUCGUGCUCGACGCUCGCCGUCCAUUCAUUCAACACCUGUGCACACUCUGUAGUCGUCUCGUCCGUCAGUAGUCUUUCCUCGCAAGGGGUCAAGCGAAAGCGAACGUGCGAUUAUGUAUUUUCAUAAACCCUUCAUACAAACAAGUCCAUAGAAAACUCAAUGUAGGCUAGGCGUAAGAACCGAUGCUGAAAUUAAAACUUAUACAACUUUUAACAACGGAUCUCUUGGCUCUC
This 304-nucleotide unclassified non-coding RNA is filed under the name rhizosphere metagenome. Its description in RNAcentral is "partial ribosomal RNA internal transcribed spacer region". The record is from RNAcentral.